GAUGAACGCUAGCGGCAGGCCUAAUACAUGCAAGUCGAGGGGUAGAGGGAGCUUGCUUCCUUGAGACCGGCGCACGGGUGCGUAACGCGUAUGCAACCUACCUUUAUCUGGGGGAUAGCCCGGAGAAAUCCGGAUUAAUACCGCAUAAAAUCACAGAAUAGCAUUAUUUAAUGAUCAAACAUUUAUGGGAUGAAGAUGGGCAUGCGUGUCAUUAGCUAGUUGGCGGGGUAACGGCCCACCAAGGCGACGAUGACUAGGGGAUCUGAGAGGAUGGCCCCCCACACUGGUACUGAGACACGGACCAGACUCCUACGGGAGGCAGCAGUAAGGAAUAUUGGUCAAUGGAGGCAACUCUGAACCAGCCAUGCCGCGUGCAGGAAGACUGCCCUAUGGGUUGUAAACUGCUUUUAUCCGGGAAUAAACCUACUUACGUGUAAGUAGCUGAAUGUACCGGAAGAAUAAGGAUCGGCUAACUCCGUGCCAGCAGCCGCGGUAAUACGGAGGAUCCAAGCGUUAUCCGGAUUUAUUGGGUUUAAAGGGUGCGUAGGCGGCCUGUUAAGUCAGGGGUGAAAGACGGUAGCUCAACUAUCGCAGUGCCCUUGAUACUGAUGGGCUUGAAUGGACUAGAGGUAGGCGGAAUGAGACAAGUAGCAGUGAAAUGCAUAGAUAUGUCUCAGAACACCGAUUGCGAAGGCAGCUUACUAUGGUCUUAUUGACGCUGAGGCACGAAAGCGUGGGGAUCAAACAGGAUUAGAUACCCUGGUAGUCCACGCCCUAAACGAUGAACACUCGCUGUUGGCGAUACACAGUCAGCGGCUAAGCGAAAGCGUUAAGUGUUCCACCUGGGGAGUACGCCCGCAAGGGUGAAACUCAAAGGAAUUGACGGGGGCCCGCACAAGCGGAGGAGCAUGUGGUUUAAUUCGAUGAUACGCGAGGAACCUUACCCGGGCUUGAAAGUUAGUGAAUGAUCUAGAGAUAGAUCAGUGAGCAAUCACACGAAACUAGGUGCUGCAUGGCUGUCGUCAGCUCGUGCCGUGAGGUGUUGGGUUAAGUCCCGCAACGAGCGCAACCCCUAUGUUUAGUUGCCAGCAUGUAAUGAUGGGGACUCUAAACAGACUGCCUGUGCAAACAGAGAGGAAGGAGGGGACGACGUCAAGUCAUCAUGGCCCUUACGUCCGGGGCUACACACGUGCUACAAUGGAUGGUACAGAGGGCAGCUAGCUGGCAACAGUAUGCGAAUCUCACAAAGCCAUUCACAGUUCGGAUUGGGGUCUGCAACUCGACCCCAUGAAGUUGGAUUCGCUAGUAAUCGCGUAUCAGCAAUGACGCGGUGAAUACGUUCCCGGGCCU
RNAcentral lists this ribosomal RNA (1350 nucleotides) under uncultured bacterium. RNAcentral describes it as "bacterial SSU rRNA". It matches the Rfam family "Bacterial small subunit ribosomal RNA", at positions 28 to 1381 of the family's 1533-position model. The record is from RNAcentral.